Molecule: long non-coding RNA, 330 nt
Filed under: Helianthus annuus (common sunflower)
Lineage: Eukaryota; Viridiplantae; Streptophyta; Magnoliopsida; Asterales; Asteraceae
Description: sRNA HanXRQr2_Chr16g0761291
Source: RNAcentral
UCAAUCUUGCAUGCUUAUAAACUACUACUGAUGUAUCAGUUAAAGAGGAGAUCAAAGAAGAAACCCAUCGUCCAAAAUAUGUAACAAUCAAACAGGAAGAGUUACAAGAAAUUCUAAAGGAUGUUGAUCGCGAUGAAGAGAAAUUGUGGUGUGACAAUAUGUAUGAGAUCGUUGAGAUGUUUAAGCCGUAUGAUUACUAGAUUUUUAACCUCAUGAUUCAAAGUACUUGACACUUGAGCUUUUAGUUUUCAACAUUUAUGUUUAAGACUUAUCUUUUCCUUAUUUGUGUGCUACUUUAUAUAACUUUUAGUUAUGUUAAAGACUUAUUUU